Molecule: long non-coding RNA, 1393 nt
Organism: Scylla paramamosain (green mud crab)
Lineage: Eukaryota; Metazoa; Arthropoda; Malacostraca; Decapoda; Portunidae
Exons: 2
Source: RefSeq, a predicted model, not a curated record
AAAGUGCGGCGCAGGCAAGCCUUCCUACAGGGUUACUGUGUCAGCUGUGACCAAAUGUUGCGUAGUGGCUCACGAUGAAGGGCACGCACCAAGUGACCGAGUGGCUGUGCAUGAACAUACAGAUGGGGCAAUCAGCAUGAGUUUACUUCAGUUGCCAAAUUCUCCACACAUGAAGAGAAAUAUGAACUGUACCCGAUACUUCUCAAAGAAAGACGUAAUCGCCUGAUUCACUCACCUUGUACAAGGUGAGUGAAGGGGAAUUAGGCUGCCCGCACACAGGACUCUUUGGUCGGUGGUCGACAGAAAAAUGGUGACCACGAAAAAUGAUCGGCACUAGGUAGUUACACCCCCAUUCCUUGGGGGCCAUACACGCCGCACUCAAGCCACUCGGUGGCGGCUAGUGUUGUCAUGCUCAUUGCUGUCACCAUGACGGUGCGAAGGUAGUGGUUAGCUGUGCUUAAUGGAAAAUGAAACGCAAAAAGUGGCCAAGAAAGUACUGGGUAGGAUACACCCAAUGUCAGCCACAGACUGCUGGCUACACCCCACUGCUAGUCACAGACUGCUGGCUACAUCCUAUUGUUACUGCUGACUAUUGGCUAAACCCCAUGUUAGCCACAAACUGCUGUCUACAUCCCAUUGCUGACUACAGAUUGUUGGCUACAGUUAGUGUUAGCCACAGACUGCUGGCUACACCCUAUUGUUAGCUUACACAAUGCUGUCUCCAUCCCAUUUUAGCCACAGACUGUUGGCUACACCUCAUUGUUACCAUGGAUUACUGGCUACACCCUAUGUUAGCCACAGACUGCUGGAUACACACCAUUGUUAGCCACAAACUGCUGGCUACACCACAUUGUUUGGCAAGAUGGCAGUGAAGAGAAUCAACGAAUAUAUGUAUCUGAGAGUGAACGACAGACAGUGAGGAGUUUGGUCUUGGCAGUGUGCUGUGGGACGUCAGUGAGGUGGCACCGUAGCAGAUACUGUGAACUAAGGAGGCUGCAGUGAGGAACUUGCUGUCCCUGGCUGCUAUGGUGUUAGUACCGCCGUGCAUGGAGGAAGAGCUGCAGUACUUCAGGGUAGUGGUAGUGGUGUACCUUCAGCGCGUUGGGUCGGUGUGCGGUUGGCCCUAUAGGGUGUGAGGGUCCUGGGGGUACUGGUUAGGGUGGGACAGUGUCAUUGGCAUAUAACAUUUCUUGUGUUGGUGCGUGAAGUGUUUAUUUCUCCUGUUUAUUUGUAUGUGGAUUUACCCAUUUUCUCAUGGGAUCAGGUAUGUUGGAGUGCCAGCAGUGUGGCCUCUAAGAGUGUUAAGCACUCAUAUUUUAUUUGUGUUUUCUUUAUUAUGUACUCAUUUGUGUUUUCUUUAUUAUGUACUCAACCAUUAAAUUUUUAAAUUGUG